CAGUGAUAAACUGGAGGAAGGUGGGGAUGACGUCAAGUCAUCAUGGCCCUUACGACCAGGGCUACACACGUGCUACAAUGGCGCAUACAAAGAGAAGCGACCUCGCGAGAGCAAGCGGACCUCAUAAAGUGCGUCGUAGUCCGGAUUGGAGUCUGCAACUCGACUCCAUGAAGUCGGAAUCGCUAGUAAUCGUGGAUCAGAAUGCCACGGUGAAUACGUUCCCGGGCCUUGUACACACCGCCCGUCACACCAUGGGAGUGGGUUGCAAAAGAAGUAGGUAGCUUAACCUUCGGGAGGGCGCUUACCACUUUGUGAUUCAUGACUGGGGUGAAGUCGUAACAAGGUAACCGUAGG
This 354-nucleotide ribosomal RNA is filed under the name Salmonella enterica subsp. enterica serovar Singapore. RNAcentral describes it as "bacterial SSU rRNA". It matches the Rfam family "Bacterial small subunit ribosomal RNA", at positions 1153 to 1506 of the family's 1533-position model. Lineage: Bacteria; Pseudomonadati; Pseudomonadota; Gammaproteobacteria; Enterobacterales; Enterobacteriaceae. RNAcentral also lists the same sequence under 1 other name. The record is from RNAcentral.